Molecule: long non-coding RNA, 399 nt
Filed under: Glycine max (soybean)
Lineage: Eukaryota; Viridiplantae; Streptophyta; Magnoliopsida; Fabales; Fabaceae
Description: long non-coding RNA (GMAX_LNC000727)
Source: RNAcentral
CAUCGUUUUUUUUUUUAACUUUUAGGACGACACAAAAGGUUAAUAAUGGAAACUGUUCUAAAGUAGUACUCUCAUUAGGCUACUAAAUAUGCAGAUUUGGUUGAUUAGUGGUUGAAUAUCAAAACAAUUUAAGAGGCCAACCUAACAGAGCAAUAUUACCUACACUGGAAGCUAGGGACUUGCAAGACUCCACUUAGUUUGCAGAACUCGAUGAAGAGGAAUCCACCAUUAUUCAUGAUUAUGGGCCAUUUGGCGUCCAAGUGGAGCAGCUCUCAUCCAAAUCCUCGUACAAGAUGCCAUCACGUUCUUCAUUUUCUACUUAAAAAGUUUUUGGGUAAUGAUAUGCCAUGUUCUAAUUGAAAUAAUGCUGCUUUCGGCCGAGCACUUCGUUCCAAAUGA